This 645-nucleotide ribosomal RNA is filed under the name uncultured Cantharellales. Its description in RNAcentral is "eukaryotic LSU rRNA". The stretch from base 201 to 354 matches the Rfam family "5.8S ribosomal RNA". The record is from RNAcentral. Lineage: Eukaryota; Fungi; Basidiomycota; Agaricomycetes; Cantharellales.
UAAUGAAUUGUAAUGGGGGUUGAUGCUGGCGAGUACCCUUGCAUGUGCUCAUCCCCAACAAUUUUCCCUAAACACCUGUGCACUCCUGAAGAAGGGGGAAAUUCCAAGUUGAUUUUCUUGGGUUUUCUCUCUCUUCUUUCACAUAUACGCUGAUUAUAAUAUUGAAUGUGCUUGUGCUAACAAUGGCAUUAAUAAAAUACAACUUUUAACAACGGAUCUCUUGGCUCUUGCAUCGAUGAAGAACGCAGCGAAAUGCGAUAAGUAAUGUGAAUUGCAGAAUUCAGUGAAUCAUCGAAUCUUUGAACGCACCUUGCGCUCCCUGGUAUUCCGAGGAGCACACCUGUUCGAGUGUUAUAAUAUUGUCAAGCUGGGGAUGCUUUUGUCUCGAAAGUCAUCAUUCGCUUGGUUUGUUGGGCUUUGCCUUUAUCCUGUAAUUGGAAUGGCUGGCCUUAAAAGCAUUAGCUGAUCUGUGUGUGGGAUUGGUUCUACUUGGUGUGAUAAUGAAUCAAAUUGCUGAGGACAUCCUUCGGGAUGGCCAAUUUCCCAUGUCCAGAUUGCUCUCUAAUCUGGGUUUUACUGAUUCUCUUAUGGGAUUGUGUUGUACCCUUCAAUUUUGACCUCGAAUCAGGUGGGACUACCCGCUGA